Molecule: ribosomal RNA, 253 nt
Filed under: uncultured bacterium
Lineage: Bacteria
Description: partial 16S ribosomal RNA
Rfam family: Bacterial small subunit ribosomal RNA
Source: RNAcentral
UACGUAGGUGGCAAGCGUUAUCCGGAUUCACUGGGUGUAAAGGGCGUGUAGGCGGGACUGCAAGUCAGAUGUGAAAACCACGGGCUCAACCUGUGGCCUGCAUUUGAAACUGUAGUUCUUGAGUACUGGAGAGGCAGACGGAAUUCCUAGUGUAGCGGUGAAAUGCGUAGAUAUUAGGAGGAACACCAGUGGCGAAGGCGGUCUGCUGGACAGCAACUGACGCUGAGGCGCGAAAGCGUGGGGAGCAAACAGG